GCUCAGAUUGAACGCUGGCGGCAGGCCUAACACAUGCAAGUCGAGCGGAAACGACAAUAACAUCCUUCGGGUGCGUUAAUGGGCGUCGAGCGGCGGACGGGUGAGUAAUGCCUAGGAAAUUGCCUUGAUGUGGGGGAUAACCAUUGGAAACGAUGGCUAAUACCGCAUAAUGCCUACGGGCCAAAGAGGGGGAUCUUCGGACCUCUCGCGUCAAGAUAUGCCUAGGUGGGAUUAGCUAGUUGGUGAGGUAAUGGCUCACCAAGGCGACGAUCCCUAGCUGGUCUGAGAGGAUGAUCAGCCACACUGGAACUGAGACACGGUCCAGACUCCUACGGGAGGCAGCAGUGGGGAAUAUUGCACAAUGGGCGAAAGCCUGAUGCAGCCAUGCCGCGUGUAUGAAGAAGGCCUUCGGGUUGUAAAGUACUUUCAGUUGUGAGGAAGGGGGUAACGUUAAUAGCGUUAUCUCUUGACGUUAGCAACAGAAGAAGCACCGGC
This 495-nucleotide ribosomal RNA is filed under the name Vibrio cf. splendidus CH-B108. Its description in RNAcentral is "bacterial SSU rRNA". It matches the Rfam family "Bacterial small subunit ribosomal RNA", at positions 22 to 497 of the family's 1533-position model. Lineage: Bacteria; Pseudomonadati; Pseudomonadota; Gammaproteobacteria; Vibrionales; Vibrionaceae. The record is from RNAcentral.